This 465-nucleotide ribosomal RNA is filed under the name uncultured bacterium. RNAcentral's name for it is "partial 16S ribosomal RNA". It matches the Rfam family "Bacterial small subunit ribosomal RNA", at positions 338 to 795 of the family's 1533-position model. The record is from RNAcentral.
CCUACGGGUGGCAGCAGUGGGGAAUAUUGCACAAUGGGCGAAAGCCUGACGCAGCCAUGCCGCGUGAGUGAUGAAGGUCUUCGGGUUGUAAAGUACUUUCAGCGGGGAGGAAGGUGCUGUGGGUAAUACCCGCAUGAAUUGACGUUACCCGCAGAGGAAGCACCGGCUAACUCUGUGCCAGCAGCCGCGGUAAUACGGAGGGUGCAAGCGUUAAUCGGAAUUACUGGGCGUAAAGCGCACGUAGGCGGUCUGUGAAGUCAGAUGUGAAAUCCCCGGGCUCAACCUGGGAACUGCAUCUGAAACUGGCAGGCUGGAGUGUGUUAGAGGGUAGUAGAAUGCCAGGUGUAGCGGUGAAAUGCGUAGAGAUCUGGAGGAACACCGGUGGCGAAGGCGGCCACCUGGAAGAAGACUGACGCUCAGGUGCGAAAGCGUGGGGAGCAAACAGGAUUAGAUACCCUAGUAGUC